Molecule: ribosomal RNA, 165 nt
Filed under: Madhuca erythrophylla
Lineage: Eukaryota; Viridiplantae; Streptophyta; Magnoliopsida; Ericales; Sapotaceae
Also listed under: 2 other names
Description: 5.8S ribosomal RNA
Rfam family: 5.8S ribosomal RNA
About the family: 5.8S ribosomal RNA (5.8S rRNA) is a component of the large subunit of the eukaryotic ribosome. It is transcribed by RNA polymerase I as part of the 45S precursor that also contains 18S and 28S rRNA.
Source: RNAcentral
CUAACGACUCUCGGCAACGGAUAUCUCGGCUCUCGCAUCGAUGAAGAACGUAGCGAAAUGCGAUACUUGGUGUGAAUUGCAGAAUCCCGUGAACCAUCGAGUCUUUGAACGCAAGUUGCGCCCGAAGCCAUUAGGCCAAGGGCACGCCUGCCUGGGCGUCUCACA